CCAGUUGACCGGGUGACCGCUGGCAGUGGGGUAACCUGCUGCUGGAGGAAAGUCCGGGCUCCAUCGAAACACGGUGCCGGUUAAUGGCCGGCGAGGGCGACCUCAGGGAAAGUGCCACAGAAAGGAAACCGCCCCGGCAUGCCGGGGUAAGGGUGAAAGGGUGCGGUAAGAGCGCACCGGGUGUCCAGCAAUGGAGACCGCACGGUAAACCCCACCGGGAGCAAGACCAAAUAGGGAUGACGCGGGACUUCGGUCCCAGCCGGUUUUGAGGCCAGAUCAUCCGGGUUGGUUGCACGAGGCGUCUGGCAACAGGCGUCGCAGAUGAAUGGUCACCACGUCGCGGCAACGCGGCCCUACAGAACCCGGCUUACAGGUCAACUGGCGUU
This 386-nucleotide RNase P RNA is filed under the name Devosia sp. RNAcentral's name for it is "RNase P RNA component class A". It matches the Rfam family "Bacterial RNase P class A". From Rfam's summary of the family: Ribonuclease P (RNase P) is a ubiquitous endoribonuclease, found in archaea, bacteria and eukarya as well as chloroplasts and mitochondria. RNAcentral also lists the same sequence under 1 other name. Lineage: Bacteria; Pseudomonadati; Pseudomonadota; Alphaproteobacteria; Hyphomicrobiales; Devosiaceae. The record is from RNAcentral.